UACGUAGGGUGCGAGCGUUAAUCGGAAUUACUGGGCGUAAAGCGUGCGCAGGCGGUUCGUUAAGUCAGAUGUGAAAGCCCCCGGCUCAACCGGGAAACUGCACGGGAAACUAGCAGGCUUGAGUUCGGGAGAGGGAAGCGGAAUUUCGGGUGUAGCGGUGAAAUGCGCAGAUAUCCGAAGGAACACCGGUGGCGAAGGCGGCUUCCUGGACCGACACUGACGCUGAGGCGCGAAAGCUAGGGGAGCAAACGGG
Molecule: ribosomal RNA, 253 nt
Filed under: uncultured bacterium
Lineage: Bacteria
Description: partial 16S ribosomal RNA
Rfam family: Bacterial small subunit ribosomal RNA
Source: RNAcentral